CUACGAAACUGCACAAUGUGGGAAACCACGAUGCGGGCAUUCCGAGUGCCAAGGCAUUGCUUUGGCUGUUCUUUCGCCUAAAAGCGAGAGAAGUAAGGGCCGGGUAAGACGGGUGCCAGCCGCCGCGGUAAUACCCGCGGCCCGAGUGGUGCUCAUUAUUAUUGAGCUUAAAGCGUUCGUAGCCGGCCUCGUAAAUCUUUGGGUAAAUCGGGCAGCUUAACUGUUCGAAUUCCGAGGAGACUGCGAGGCUCGGGACCGGGAGAGGUUCAAGGCACACAGGGGAUAGG
Molecule: ribosomal RNA, 287 nt
Filed under: uncultured Thermoplasmatales archaeon
Lineage: Archaea; Methanobacteriati; Thermoplasmatota; Thermoplasmata; Thermoplasmatales
Description: partial 16S ribosomal RNA
Rfam family: Archaeal small subunit ribosomal RNA
Source: RNAcentral